This 1205-nucleotide ribosomal RNA is filed under the name Amphidinium sp. RNAcentral's name for it is "SSU rRNA". It matches the Rfam family "Eukaryotic small subunit ribosomal RNA", at positions 420 to 1650 of the family's 1831-position model. The record is from RNAcentral. Lineage: Eukaryota; Dinophyceae; Amphidiniales; Amphidiniaceae.
GGAAGGCAGCAGGCGCGCAAAUUACCCAAUUCUGACACAGAGAGGUAGUGACAAGAAAUAACAAUAUGGGGCAUCCAUGUCCUGUAAUUGGAAUGAGCAGCGUCCAAAUUUCCUUGUGAGGAUCAAUUGGAGGGCAAGUCUGGUGCCAGCAGCCGCGGUAAUUCCAGCUCCAAUAGCGUAUAUUAAAGCUGUUGCGGUUGAAAAGCUCGUAGUUGGUUUUCUGUUGAGGGCAACCAGUCCGCCCACUGGGUGAGUAUCUGACUUGCUCUCGGCAUCUCUCUGGAAAUUGCUGCUGCACUUGACUGUGUGGUGCAUGACCCAGAGCCAUUACUUUGAGGAAAUUGGGGUGUUUCAAGCAGGCCUUGGCUGUUGAACACAUUAGCAUGGAAUAGUCAGCGAGACUCCAGCUCUUUCUUGCUGGUUUCUAGAGCUGGGGUAAGGGUCAAGAGGGAUGGUUGGGGGUAUCCGAACUUGGCUGUCAGAGGUGAAAUUCUUGGAUUUGCCAAAGUCGCACGACUGCGAAAGCAUUUAUCCAAAAUGUCUUCAUUGAUCAAGAACGAAAGUUAGGGGAUCGAAGACGAUCAGAUACCGUCCUAGUCUUAACCAUAAACGAUGCCAACUAGGAAUUGGAGGCUGUCUUCACUUUGACUCCUUCAGCACCAUAAGAGAAAUCAAAGUCUUUGGGUUCCGGGGGGAGUAUGGUCGCAAGGCUGAAACUUAAAGGAAUUGACGGAAGGGCACCACCAGGAGUGGAGCCUGCGGCUUAAUUUGACUCAACACGUGGAAACUCACCAGGCCCAGACACAGGAUGGAUUGACAGAUUGAUCGUUCUUUCAUGAUUCUGUGGGUGGUGGUGCAUGGCCGUUCUUAGUUGGUGGAGUGAUUUGUCAGGUUAAUUCCGUUAACGAACGAGACCUUAACUUGCUAAAUAGCCACGUGCAGCCCAUCUGCUUCACGGUUGGCUUCUUAGAGGGACUUUGUGUUUCCAACAUGAGGAGGUUUGAGGCAAUAACAGGUCUGUGAUGCCCUUAGAUGUCCUGGGCUGCACGCGCGCUACACUGGCGCUCUCAGUGAGUUCUCGUCUUGCCCGAAAUGGUUGGGUACCCUCUGAAACCAACGCCAUGAUGGGGAUAGAUUAUUGCAAGUAUUAAUCUUCAACGAGGAAUUCCUAGUAAGCGUGAGUCAUCAGCCCAUGUACUCUGCGU